Molecule: ribosomal RNA, 437 nt
Filed under: uncultured bacterium
Lineage: Bacteria
Description: partial 16S ribosomal RNA
Rfam family: Bacterial small subunit ribosomal RNA
Source: RNAcentral
AGCGAACGCUGGCGGCAGGCUUAACACAUGCAAGUCGAGCGGGCAUCCUUGUGGUGUCAGCGGCAGACGGGUGAGUAACGCGUGGGAACGUGCCCUUCGGUUCGGAAUAACUCAGGGAAACUUGAGCUAAUACCGGAUACGUGCGAGAGCAGAAAGGUUUAUCUGCCGAAGGAUCGGCCCGCGUCUGAUUAGCUAGUUGGUGAGGUUACGGCUCACCAAGGCGACGAUCAGUAGCUGGUCUGAGAGGAUGAUCAGCCACACUGGGACUGAGACACGGCCCGGACCCCUGCGGGAGGCGGCAGUGGGAAAUAUGGGACACGGGGGCCAACCCGGCCCCACCCGUGCCGCGUGAGGGUGGCGGCCUUUGGGGUUGAAAAGCUCUUUUCUCGGGAGCGAUAAGCGCGAACCCGGAGAAAUAGCCCCCGGCUAACUUCGUG